UCAAGUGAAGAAGCGCAUACGGUGGAUGCCUUGGCAGUCAGAGGCGAUGAAAGACGUGGUAGCCUGCGAUAAGCUUUGGGGAGUCGGCAAACAGACUGUGAUCCAGAGAUCUCUGAAUGGGGGAACCCAGCCAGCAUAAGCUGGUUAUCUUGUACUGAAUACAUAGGUGCAAGAGGCGAACCAGGGGAACUGAAACAUCUAAGUACCCUGAGGAAAAGAAAUCAACCGAGAUUCCCUUAGUAGUGGCGAGCGAACGGGGACCAGCCCUUAAGUUGAUUUGAGAUUAGUGGAACGCUCUGGAAAGUGCGGCCAUAGUGGGUGAUAGCCCCGUACACGAAAAUCUCUUAUCAAUGAAAUCGAGUAGGACGGAGCACGAGAAACUUUGUCUGAAUAUGGGGGGACCAUCCUCCAAGGCUAAAUACUACUGACUGACCGAUAGUGAACCAGUACCGUGAGGGAAAGGCGAAAAGAACCCCGGAGAGGGGAGUGAAAUAGAACCUGAAACCGUAUGCGUACAAGCAGUGGGAGCCUACUUUGUUAGGUGACUGCGUACCUUUUGUAUAAUGGGUCAGCGACUUAUAUUCAGUGGCGAGCUUAACCGAAUAGGGGAGGCGUAGCGAAAGCGAGUCUUAAUAGGGCGUUUAGUCGCUGGGUAUAGACCCGAAACCGGGCGAUCUAUCCAUGGGCAGGUUGAAGGUUAGGUAACACUGACUGGAGGACCGAACCGACUACCGUUGAAAAGUUAGCGGAUGACCUGUGGAUCGGAGUGAAAGGCUAAUCAAGCUCGGAGAUAGCUGGUUCUCCUCGAAAGCUAUUUAGGUAGCGCCUCAUGUAUCACUGUAGGGGGUAGAGCACUGUUUCGGCUAGGGGGUCAUCCCGACUUACCAAACCGAUGCAAACUCCGAAUACCUACAAGUGCCGAGCAUGGGAGACACACGGCGGGUGCUAACGUCCGUCGUGAAAAGGGAAACAACCCAGACCGUCAGCUAAGGUCCCAAAGUCAUGGUUAAGUGGGAAACGAUGUGGGAAGGCUUAGACAGCUAGGAGGUUGGCUUAGAAGCAGCCACCCUUUAAAGAAAGCGUAAUAGCUCACUAGUCGAGUCGGCCUGCGCGGAAGAUGUAACGGGGCUCAAACCAUGCACCGAAGCUACGGGUAUCAUCGUAUGAUGAUGCGGUAGAGGAGCGUUCUGUAAGCCUGUGAAGGUGAGUUGAGAAGCUUGCUGGAGGUAUCAGAAGUGCGAAUGCUGACAUGAGUAACGACAAUGCGAGUGAAAAACUCGCACGCCGAAAGACCAAGGUUUCCUGCGCAACGUUAAUCGACGCAGGGUUAGUCGGUCCCUAAGGCGAGGCUGAAAAGCGUAGUCGAUGGAAAACAGGUUAAUAUUCCUGUACUUCCAGUUAUUGCGAUGGAGGGACGGAGAAGGUUAGGCCAGCCUGGCGUUGGUUGUCCAGGUUUAAGGUGGUAGGCUGAAAUCUUAGGCAAAUCCGGGAUUUCAAGGCCGAGAGCUGAUGACGAGUUGCCUUUAGGCGACGAAGUGGUUGAUACCAUGCUUCCAAGAAAAGCUCCUAAGCUUCAGAUAACUGGGAACCGUACCCCAAACCGACACAGGUGGUUAGGUAGAGAAUACCAAGGCGCUUGAGAGAACUCGGGUGAAGGAACUAGGCAAAAUGGCACCGUAACUUCGGGAGAAGGUGCGCCGGCGAGGGUUAAGGACUUGCUCCGUAAGCCCAUGCCGGUCGAAGAUACCAGGCCGCUGCGACUGUUUAUUAAAAACACAGCACUCUGCAAACACGAAAGUGGACGUAUAGGGUGUGACGCCUGCCCGGUGCCGGAAGGUUAAUUGAUGGGGUUAGCGCAAGCGAAGCUCUUGAUCGAAGCCCCGGUAAACGGCGGCCGUAACUAUAACGGUCCUAAGGUAGCGAAAUUCCUUGUCGGGUAAGUUCCGACCUGCACGAAUGGCGUAACGAUGGCGGCGCUGUCUCCACCCGAGACUCAGUGAAAUUGAAAUCGCUGUGAAGAUGCAGUGUAUCCGCGGCUAGACGGAAAGACCCCGUGAACCUUUACUAUAGCUUUGCACUGGACUUUGAAUUUGCUUGUGUAGGAUAGGUGGGAGGCUUUGAAGUGGGGACGCCAGUUCUCAUGGAGCCAUCCUUGAAAUACCACCCUGGCAACUUUGAGGUUCUAACUCAGGUCCGUUAUCCGGAUCGAGGACAGUGUAUGGUGGGUAGUUUGACUGGGGCGGUCUCCUCCCAAAGAGUAACGGAGGAGUACGAAGGUGCGCUCAGACCGGUCGGAAAUCGGUCGUAGAGUAUAAAGGCAAAAGCGCGCUUGACUGCGAGACAAACACGUCGAGCAGGUACGAAAGUAGGUCUUAGUGAUCCGGUGGUUCUGUAUGGAAGGGCCAUCGCUCAACGGAUAAAAGGUACUCCGGGGAUAACAGGCUGAUACCGCCCAAGAGUUCAUAUCGACGGCGGUGUUUGGCACCUCGAUGUCGGCUCAUCACAUCCUGGGGCUGAAGCCGGUCCCAAGGGUAUGGCUGUUCGCCAUUUAAAGUGGUACGCGAGCUGGGUUUAGAACGUCGUGAGACAGUUCGGUCCCUAUCUGCCGUGGACGUUUGAGAUUUGAGAGGGGCUGCUCCUAGUACGAGAGGACCGGAGUGGACGAACCUCUG
RNAcentral lists this ribosomal RNA (2672 nucleotides) under Pseudomonas putida. RNAcentral describes it as "bacterial LSU rRNA". It matches the Rfam family "Bacterial large subunit ribosomal RNA". The record is from RNAcentral. Lineage: Bacteria; Pseudomonadati; Pseudomonadota; Gammaproteobacteria; Pseudomonadales; Pseudomonadaceae.